RNAcentral lists this unclassified non-coding RNA (146 nucleotides) under soil metagenome. RNAcentral describes it as "partial internal transcribed spacer 1". The record is from RNAcentral.
UAAUAAGUGUUUUAUGGCACUUUUUAAAUCCAUAUCCACCUUGUGUGCAAUGUCGAUCGAUCUUCUUUCUUGAGGAUCGACCAAACAUCAACCUUUAUCUUUUAACUCUUUGUCUGAAAAAUAUUAUGAAUAAACAAUUCAAAAUA